RNAcentral lists this unclassified non-coding RNA (250 nucleotides) under Dothideomycetes sp. Its description in RNAcentral is "partial contains 5.8S ribosomal RNA, internal transcribed spacer 2, and large subunit ribosomal RNA". Lineage: Eukaryota; Fungi; Ascomycota; Dothideomycetes. The record is from RNAcentral.
CGCACAUUGCGCCCUCUGGUAUUCCGGGGGGCAUGCCCGUUCGAGCGUCAUUACACCUCUCAAGCCUCGCUUGGUAUUGGAGGAAGUGGUCGAAAGACUGCCCCUCUUGAAAACUCCGGCCUAUUCAGUUCACACUCUGGCGUUGUGCAAACAAAUCCGCCUCAGGUACGUGUUCUUGAGUUAGACUGCCGUUAAGCAUUUUUACUUAAAGGUUGACCUCGGAUCGGGUAGGAAUACCCGCUGAACUUAA